CAAUAGCGUAUAUUAAAGUUGUUGCGGUUAAAAAGCUCGUAGUUGGAUUUCUGCUGAGGACGAUCGGUCCGCCCUCUGGUGAGCAUUGACUCGGCCUUGGCAUCUUCUUGGAGAACGCUACUGCAUUUGACUGUGUGGUGCGGUAUCCAGGACUUUUACUUUGAGGAAAUUAGAGUGUUUCAAGCAGGCGCACGCCUUGAAUACAUUAGCAUGGAAUAAUAGGAUAGGACCUUGGUUCUAUUUUGUUGGUUUCUAGAACAUACGCAAUGAUUAAUAGGGAUAAUUGGGGCGACUCGUAUUAACGCGUCAGAGGUGGAAUUCUUAGAUUGCGUUACGACGAACUACUGCGAAAGCAUUUGCCAAGGAUGUUUUCAUUGAUCAAGAACGAAAGUAUGGGGAGUCGAAGACGAUCAGAU
Molecule: ribosomal RNA, 416 nt
Filed under: uncultured eukaryote
Lineage: Eukaryota
Description: bacterial SSU rRNA
Rfam family: Eukaryotic small subunit ribosomal RNA
Source: RNAcentral